CUUAAAAAAAACUUGAUAACUGGUCCAUUGUCUGUUAUUUUUUUUCUAUAGCACAUUUCCCAAUGCAAGAUUAGCCUGUCAAUAAAAACUACAUUUGAUGUGCAUAUAGUUAGCGUUAAAUUUGCUACCCAAUUCAAGGAGUCCUCCCUGUAGCGCAGUGGUCACAUUUCCGAGCUUCGGUUUGGAAGGGCAAGGUGGUUCUCAUAAUCCGCCGACCUACCUGCGACGUAGCCGCCGGUUGUAAGUGAGAAUUUUCGGUGAUUUGUUCCAGUGGGUCCCGGCGCGUCUGCGAUGGAUCGCCGACGUACUCAAAUUUGCGCGAAGUGGAAAUCGAAUGGGCGCAAUUUUCAACCAGUCCACCUGUAAGUAUGGAUCGAAUCGUGUCACUAGAGUACUAGAGUUACUAGAGUCCAACACGAAUAUGAAAAAAAUCGGAGUCCCUCUGCGGGGGUUGAACGGCAUGCCCUUCCAAACCGAUACUUGCAGGUAGGUCGGCAGGAUGUGAGAACCAGGCUUUAUAUGGGCGAGAUAGGUAUAUGCGGCCGCAAAGGAUAUAUUUUCAGCCGUUUUGGUCGCAAAUAGGGUAUCAAAUAUGGAUUACGCGCGAAUAUUGUCACGACAACAACUCGCGCGGAUAACGCGCGAGAUGAGUGAACGCUCCCAGCAUUCUCUGCAACUUACAACAGUUCGUCGCGAAAGUUGAGCGAGGCUGAAAAAAGGCAGACUUAAAGAGAAGAACUUUGCUUGGACCCGGAGAACUUUGUUGGCGAGCGAUUCGGAUUGUAGG
Molecule: long non-coding RNA, 787 nt
Organism: Orbicella faveolata
Lineage: Eukaryota; Metazoa; Cnidaria; Anthozoa; Scleractinia; Merulinidae
Source: RefSeq, a predicted model, not a curated record